AGUGAACGCUGGCGGUAGGCCUAACACAUGCAAGUCGAACGGCAGCACAGAGGAGCUUGCUCCUUGGGUGGCGAGUGGCGGACGGGUGAGGAAUACAUCGGAAUCUACUCUGUCGUGGGGGAUAACGUAGGGAAACUUACGCUAAUACCGCAUACGACCUACGGGUGAAAGCAGGGGAUCUUCGGACCUUGGGCGAUUGAAUGAGCCGAUGUCGGAUUAGCUGGUUGGCGGGGUAAAGGCCCACCAAGGCGACGAGCCGUAGCUGGUCUGAGAGGAUGAUCAGCCACACUGGAACUGAGACACGGUCCAGACUCCUACGGGAGGCAGCAGUGGGGAAUAUUGGACAAUGGGCGCAAGCCUGAUCCAGCCAUACCGCGUGGGUGAAGAAGGCCUUCGGGUUGUAAAGCCCUUUUGUUGGGAAAGAAAUCCAUCUGGUUAAUACCCGGGUGGGAUGACGGUACCCAAAGAAUAAGCACCGGCUAACUUCGUGCCAGCCGCCGCGGUAA
RNAcentral lists this ribosomal RNA (506 nucleotides) under uncultured bacterium. RNAcentral's name for it is "partial 16S ribosomal RNA". It matches the Rfam family "Bacterial small subunit ribosomal RNA", at positions 29 to 523 of the family's 1533-position model. The record is from RNAcentral.